RNAcentral lists this ribosomal RNA (309 nucleotides) under Triticum aestivum (bread wheat). RNAcentral describes it as "partial small subunit ribosomal RNA". Lineage: Eukaryota; Viridiplantae; Streptophyta; Magnoliopsida; Poales; Poaceae. The record is from RNAcentral.
AUGUACUCGUCGCAGUCGCUGAGCCGCGUCAACAACAUCCGUACCUCGCUCAUCAACACGCAGAAGGGCAACCAGUCCGCCGCCGCCUACUUCGCCACCAUGCGUGGUCUCGCGGAUGAGCUAGCAGCGGCCGGCAAACCCAUCCAGGACGACGAGCUGAUCUCGUACAUCCUUCACGGGCUGGACCAGAAGUACCAGCCCCUCGUCUCUGCCCUCGACGCCUGUGUCAGCCUUGCCUCCCUCGACGAGAUCUUCUCCAUGCUCAGCAACUUCGACCAUCGCAUGGUGCACUUCCAGAACUCCGGCGGC